CCAGCACCCCGAGUGGUCGGGACGAUUAUUGGGCCUAAAGCAUCCGUAGCCGGUACUGCAAGUCUUCCGUUAAAUCCACCUGCUCAACAGUUGGGCUGCGGAGGAUACUACAGCGCUAGGAGGCGGGAGAGGCAAGCGGUACUCAUUGGGUAGGGGUAAAAUCCACUGAUCCAUUGAAGACCACCAGUGGCGAAGGCGGCUUGCCAGAACGCGCUCGACGGUGAGGGAUGAAAGCUGGGGGAGCAAACCGGAUUAGAUACCCGGGUAGUCCCAGCUGUAAACGAUGCAGACUCGGUGAUGGGCUGGCCUUGUGCCAACCCAGUGCCGCAGGGAAGCCGUUAAGUCUGCCGCCUGGGGAGUACGGUCGCAAGACUG
RNAcentral lists this ribosomal RNA (375 nucleotides) under uncultured organism. RNAcentral's name for it is "bacterial SSU rRNA". It matches the Rfam family "Archaeal small subunit ribosomal RNA", at positions 476 to 851 of the family's 1478-position model. The record is from RNAcentral.